This 651-nucleotide ribosomal RNA is filed under the name uncultured Bacteroidales bacterium. RNAcentral's name for it is "bacterial SSU rRNA". It matches the Rfam family "Bacterial small subunit ribosomal RNA", at positions 75 to 725 of the family's 1533-position model. The record is from RNAcentral. Lineage: Bacteria; Pseudomonadati; Bacteroidota; Bacteroidia; Bacteroidales.
CUUGCUUUCUUUGCUGGCGACCGGCGCACGGGUGAGUAACACGUAUCCAACCUGCCCUUUACUCGGGGAUAGCCUUUCGAAAGAAAGAUUAAUACCCGAUAGCAUAAUGAUUCCGCAUGGUUUCAUUAUUAAAGGAUUCCGGUAAAGGAUGGGGAUGCGUUCCAUUAGGUUGUUGGUGAGGUAACGGCCCACCAAGCCUUCGAUGGAUAGGGGUUCUGAGAGGAAGGUCCCCCACAUUGGAACUGAGACACGGUCCAAACUCCUACGGGAGGCAGCAGUGAGGAAUAUUGGUCAAUGGGCGUUAGCCUGAACCAGCCAAGUAGCGUGAAGGAUGAAGGCUCUAUGGGUCGUAAACUUCUUUUAUAUAAGAAUAAAGUGCAGUAUGUAUACUGUUUUGUAUGUAUUAUAUGAAUAAGGAUCGGCUAACUCCGUGCCAGCAGCCGCGGUAAUACGGAGGAUCCGAGCGUUAUCCGGAUUUAUUGGGUUUAAAGGGAGCGUAGGUGGACUGGUAAGUCAGUUGUGAAAGUUUGCGGCUCAACCGUAAAAUUGCAGUUGAUACUGUCAGUCUUGAGUACAGUAGAGGUGGGCGGAAUUCGUGGUGUAGCGGUGAAAUGCUUAGAUAUCACGAAGAACUCCGAUUGCGAAGGCAGC